This 304-nucleotide unclassified non-coding RNA is filed under the name air metagenome. RNAcentral describes it as "partial contains small subunit ribosomal RNA, internal transcribed spacer 1, and 5.8S ribosomal RNA". The stretch from base 1 to 46 matches the Rfam family "Eukaryotic small subunit ribosomal RNA", at positions 1786 to 1831 of the family's 1831-position model. The record is from RNAcentral.
AAGUCGUAACAAGGUUUCCGUAGGUGAACCUGCGGAAGGAUCAUUAACGAGUUCUGACUUGGGUUGUCGCUGGUCCUCCGGGACAUGUGCACACCUGAUGCUCAUCCACUCACCCCUGUGCACACUUGUAGUCUCCUUUUUCUUUUGAUUCCAAUGGGUGUUGUUGAAGGCUUCACGGCUGGAUCCCAUCUAGCGGGAAAGAAAGCAGGGGGAUUACGUUUUUAUAUACGCAUAAAGUCUAGAAUGUUAUCUUUGCUAUAAACGCAUUUUAAUACAACUUUCAACAACGGAUCUCUUGGCUCUC